GACGGGUGAGUAAUGCAUGGGAAUCUGCCCUCUAGUUUGGGAUACCGUGUGGAAACGCACGUUAAUACCGGAUACGAUCUACGGAUGAAAGGUGGCCUCCAUUUAUAAGCUAUCGCUAGAGGAUGAGCCCAUGUUAGAUUAACUAGUUGGUGGGGUAAUGGCUCACCAAGGUGACGAUCUAUAGCUGGUUUGAGAGGAUGAUCAGCCACACCGGGACUGAGACACGGCCCGGACUCCUACGGGAGGCAGCAGUGGGGAAUAUUGGACAAUGGGGGGAACCCUGAUCCAGCCAUGCCGCGUGUGUGAAGAAGGCCUGAGGGUUGUAAAGCACUUUUAGCGAGGAGGAAAGGUAUGUUGCUAAUAUCGGCAUGCUGUGACGUUACUCGCAGAAAAAGCACCGGCUAACUCUGUGCCAGCAGCCGCGGUAAUACAGAGGGUGCAAGCGUUAUUCGGAAUCACUGGGCGUAAAGCGCGCGUAGGCGGAUUAUUAAGUCGGAUGUGAAAGCCCUGGGCUUAACCUAGGAAUUGCAUUUGAUACUGGUAGUCUAGAAUUUAGUAGAGGGAAGGGGAAUUUCCGGAGUAGCAGUGAAAUGCGUAGAUAUCAGAAGGAACAUCAGUGGCGAAGGCGCCUUCCUGGACUAGAAUUGACGCUGAGGUGCGAAAGCGUGGGUAGCGAACGGGAUUAGAUACCCCGGUAGUCCACGCCGUAAACGAUGUCAACUAGUUGUUGGGUGCCUUGUGCACUUAGUAACGCAGCUAACGCAUUAAGUUGACCGCCUGGGAGUACGGCCGCAAGGUUAAACUCAAAUGAUUGACGGGGCCAAGCACAA
RNAcentral lists this ribosomal RNA (830 nucleotides) under uncultured bacterium. RNAcentral describes it as "bacterial SSU rRNA". It matches the Rfam family "Bacterial small subunit ribosomal RNA", at positions 100 to 928 of the family's 1533-position model. The record is from RNAcentral.